ASGAUUCCCCCAGUAACUGCGAGUGAAGAGGGAAGAGCUCAAAUUUAGAAUCUGGCAGUCUUUGGCUGUCCGAGUUGUAAAUUAGAGAAGUGUUAUCCGCGCUGGACUGUGCAUAAGUCUCUUGGAAAAGGGCAUCAUAGAGGGUGAGAAUCCCGUCUUUGACACGGACUGCCAGUGCUUUGUGAUGCGCUCUCAAAGAGUCGAGUUGUUUGGGAAUGCAGCUCAAAAUGGGUGGUAAAUUCCGUCUAAAGCUAAAUAUUGGCGAGAGACCGAUAGCGAACAAGUACCGUGAGGGAAAGAUGAAAAGCACUUUGGAAAGAGAGUUAAACAGUACGUGAAAUUGCUGAAAGGGAAACGCUUGAAGUCAGUCGCGUUGAUCAGAACUCAGCCUUGCUUCUGCUUGGUGCAUUUUCUGUUCAACGGGCCAGCAUCAAUUUUGACCAUUGGAAAAAGGUCUCGGGAAUGUGGCAUCUUCGGAUGUGUUAUAGCCCUUGGCUGCAUACAAUGGUUGGGAUUGAGGAUCUCAGCACGCCUUUAUGGUCGGGGUUCGCCCACGUUCGUGCUUAGGAUGCUGGCGUAAU
This 581-nucleotide ribosomal RNA is filed under the name uncultured Basidiomycota. RNAcentral describes it as "LSU rRNA". It matches the Rfam family "Eukaryotic large subunit ribosomal RNA", at positions 71 to 635 of the family's 3401-position model. The record is from RNAcentral. Lineage: Eukaryota; Fungi; Basidiomycota.